RNAcentral lists this ribosomal RNA (137 nucleotides) under uncultured eukaryote. RNAcentral's name for it is "partial 18S ribosomal RNA". It matches the Rfam family "Eukaryotic small subunit ribosomal RNA", at positions 1299 to 1458 of the family's 1831-position model. The record is from RNAcentral.
UGGUGGGGUGACCCGUCUGGUUAAUUUCGAUAACGAACGAGAUCCGAGCUGUUUAGUUGGCCGGCAUUACUUCGGUAGUGUUGUGUCUCCUAUAUGGACUGUCAGUUUGAGGCUGAAGGAAGUUUCGGGCUAAAUCA